RNAcentral lists this ribosomal RNA (408 nucleotides) under uncultured bacterium. RNAcentral's name for it is "partial 16S ribosomal RNA". It matches the Rfam family "Bacterial small subunit ribosomal RNA", at positions 28 to 526 of the family's 1533-position model. The record is from RNAcentral.
GACGAACGCUGGCGGCGUGCAUAACACAUGCAAGUCGAACGAAGUGGCGAACGGGUGAGUAACGCGUACUCAACCUGCCCUUCAGAGGGGGACAACAGUUGGAAACGACUGCUAAUACUGCAUACGGAAGGAGGGGCUUGCGUUGGAUGGGCGAGGUGGAGUGGUAACGGCCCACCAAGGCGAUGAACAGUAGCCGGUCUGAGAGGAUGAACGGCCACAUUGGGACUGAGACACGGCCAAGACGCCUACGGGAGGCAGCAGUGGGGAAUCUUCCGCAAUGGACGAAAGCCUGACGGAGCAACGCCGCGUGAGUGAUGACGGUCUUCGGGUUGUAAAGCUCUGUUAUUCGGGAAGCGGUACCGGAAUAGAAAGCCACGGCUAACUACGUGCCAGCCGCCGCGGUAAUAC